ACAUUCCCUUUUUGAAAGAAUUCUGAGAAAAUGGUAGUGUGUACUGUAGUGCCAGAAAUGCUCAGUGGCAGACUUUCCUAUAUAAAACAUGCUGCAUGCUGCGUACUUCUACAGGUGUUGCCAUGGGUACAAGUACUAUUAGUAGCUGCGAUUUGAGAGAAUAUGUAAACAUCAGCCUGAUCUGGUGAAAAUGACAUGACUGUGGCGACAUUUUUGCAAAAUCAUAUUACAUGGUUGCACGUAUCGCGCCACUUCUGAGGUGAAAUGUCCACUGUGUGAAACCAAAAGUAAAUUACAUUUUCUCCCAAACAGAUGAGACUAAGGUUAAUGCUCUGUUGAGUUUUAAAUCAACAAAACCUACCUCCCUACCCUAAACCUUAACCCUAAACCUAACUGAUAGUGUCAUAAAAAGCAAAUGUGACAUGAAACACACAAUUGCUAAACUAAGCAACCAUGUCAUUUUGUGGUGCUUCUAUGACACUUUCGGCUCACGUGACAUCUCUUCGGGACUUGUACGUUGGAAGUGCAACGCGCUAAAAGUUGCGCUACCAUACAACUUGAUCAUGCCUGAACAAGCUUGUAAAUGUAGUUUGUUGUUUAAUGCAAACAUUUAAAGUCAUACACUAAAGUAAAUGGGUUUUAAUGUCCUAAGAUAGCAUUGUGUGAGGAACAGGGCGAAAUGUAAGUGUUUAUGGCUUAUGGCUAGUUUAUGACUGAUAAUUUGCCAUUUUACUCCUGAUUUGUGUGAUAGGAAAUAAAAUUCAUUGUUGUUGUAGCGCCUCUAGUGUCAUUUCACCAGGAAACUGCCAACCCGAUCUCAUGAAAAGUCGUACAUGAUUUACGAUUUGAUUUAUUUCAUAUGGUCUCGCACGAUGUUGUUCGCAUAAACUCGUACGACUUCAUCACAUGCAAAUUCCCAGAUGUCUAAUGCGAAGUAAGCGCAAGUUCCACGCACAAGGCGUUAAGGACAUACUUAUUAAUAUUAUGCCCUAACCACUUAUCUAAACUUAACCAAUCAGUAGAGUGUGUAAACAUGAUAGGAAGCUGUUGUGUGUGACAGAAGCAAGUAAUUGUCGGAUAUUAGAUGGAAAUGUCCAGCGACGUCAUUGGCUGUAGUGAAAGUCAUAGGAAUUCAAACAAGUGCAGUCACACAAUAUCAUAGGAAUUAGCCAAAUUUAGAAAAGGCGUACGAAUCCUGACGAUUUCACCGUGAGAGUGUGUAGAAACUGCAGCGAUACUUAGAAUGAGCAACAUUAUUUUCAAUUUGCAAAAAUGUAGGUAUGAUUCUAUAAGACCAGAUUGGUAAAUAUUGUUAUUUAAAGGGAUAGUUUGCACAAAUAUAAAUAUAUAUAUUGUCAUCAUUUAUUCACCCUCAUUUUGUUCAUCCAGUCACCAUUCACUUUUACUGCAUUGUUUUUCUCCAUACAAUGAAAGUGAAUGGUGACUGAGGCUAAAAUUAAGAACACAAUGACAUAUUGUAUAAAGAGGACAGUCAUAUAGAAUUGUGUAAGUUUAAAAGAUAAUGACCCAUGGUGGUUUGGAGGUAACAUCAAACCCUGAUUGCAUAAAAAUGGCCUGUAAUGAUGGACAUCAUCAGAGGGAUAAAAGAAGAAUUUUAAAGUUUAAACAAAUAAGUUGAAGUCAUCACAUUAAAACUCUGCAUUAAAAGGGAAAUUAGUGUACUGUGGGGAGAAACACUCACCAAGCUAAAACUGUGAAAACUGCCCUGAGGGGGGGAGGGGAGACGAUCCGUCUAGGUCAUUUCUGUCACAGUGCUUUACAUCGCAGAGAAAGACUCUACUGUUUUCUGUGUCCCCAGCAUGGCAGGCGGACAAACCCAGAGCUUUUGUGUUAAAGCAGUUGCUGUGAUACGCUGGCAUGCAUCGUCCACAGAGGAACAGUGAGGGUCUGUCGAGCCAGUAAUUUAGCAUUUCGAUUUCAAAUCUGCAUGUCACUGUAAGAUCUCGCACUAUGCAAAUCAGUUGUGCUCAUAACAAAUGAUGUGCCCUCGCAGUAGCACAACAGUGUGGGGAUGGCUGACAGACGUGCUUGAUAAUCAGUAAGCAGGGUCUUGAAGUGUGUUGUGGCAGAUUUAUGAUCCAUACAGAGUUUUGUUUUUAGCUUCAGUGUGUGGAGUGUAUCACUAUAUGGCUGCAGGUUUAUUUAUGUGCUUAUGUAUGCUUAUAGCCACAACAUGUCACUUUUCUUUUUUUUUUUCCUCAGUUUGGAAUGCCCAAUUCCCAAUGCGCUCUAAGUCCUCGUGGUGGCGUAAUGACUCGCCUCAAUCCGUGUGGAGGAGGACGAAUCUCAGUUACCUCCACAUCUGAGACCGUCAAUCUGCGCAUUUUAUCACGUGGCUUUGUUGAGCACGUUACCGUGAAGACAUAAUGCGUGUGGAGGCUCACGCUAUUCUCCGCGGCAUCCACAACUCACCACGCGACCCACCGAGAGUUAGACAAGUACUGACACUGGAACCACUGAAACCAUCUGUGUCCCUGGCAUGUAUGCUCAUAGCCACAAGAUGUCACUUUUCUUUUUUUUUUCUUUUCUUUAUUUUCUCCCCAAUUUGGAAUGCCCAAUUCCCAAUGCGCUCUAAGUCCUCGUGGUGGCGUAGUGACUCGCCUCAAUCCGGGUGAUGGAGGACGAAUCUCAGUUGCCUCCACGUCUGAGAUCUUAUCAUGUGGCUUUGUUGAGCACGUUACCGUGAAGACAUAACGCGUGUGGAGGCUCACGCUAUUCUCCGCGGCAUCCACGCACAACACACCAAGCGCCCCACCGAGAGCGAGAACCACAUUAUAGCGACCACAAGGAGGUUAACCCAAUGUGACUCUACCCACCCUAGCAACUGGGCCAAUUGGUUGCUUAGGAAGCCUGACUUGAGUCACUCAGCACGCCCUGGAUUCAAACUUGCGACUCCAGGUGUGGUAGUCAGCGUCAUUACUUGUUGAGCUACCCAGGCCCCAGAUGUCACUUUUCUUGAGAUAUAUGCCAUGUUUGGGUGAAGUUAUAGCAUACAAAGCUAAUAUAUUUUUAAAUGUUCAUUUUAUGAAUCUGUACCAGUAGACAGUGCACCUGCUGUGGUUGUUUUCCCCUAUGUAAACAAGUAUUGGCAAGUUGCUUGGAAAAGUUUCAGAGUCAAUUGUGGGAAUUUGUCUUUGUGGGAAUUGGCUUGGGGCUGCGUUGACUAACAUUUAAGUUGAAAUUAUUCACACAGGUUUGUCCUCUUAACUGAAACUAAAUGUUCAUUUAGAUGGAUAUUCCAAGAAUGACAUAAUUUUGUGGUUUGUAUUGGCUACAUAUUGCAUUUUGGCAAAAUAUUUCAGGGGAGCGGUUAGAAUACACGCCUAAUUUUAAAUGAAUCAACAAUCAACUUUUGGCAAGUAAAAGGUAGACAGGUAAACAUUGUCUUCUGUAUCUAUGAAUGAGGAAAUGUACAGUAUUCAGUGCAAAUAAGGUGCUAAAUUUUGCUUUGUUGUUUUAUAGUUUCAAGUGCAGAUAAAUCCACCCAUCUCUUCUCAAAAGCUGUCAAUUUUUUUCAUCAGGUUUGAAAGGCACCAUUGAUAAAAGUUUACUGAGAUGAAAGUUUUUGUUUACUGAGAUAAUAUUGCUAAUAAUGCUUAUUAGGACUUUUAUUUUGAAGGUCUCACUGUCUGAGAGUAAUUACUGAAUGCAAGUAAAUGUGGACCAGUAUGAAAUUGUGUCAUUAUAUAAUUUGCAUAAUUGAAGGUUUUCCUACUAUACUGUAGUUAAAGGUUGAUGCAAAAUGCCUCAAAGAUGAAUCACUUAAUCCUAUAAACCACCCAAAAACACCCUAGUGACUGCAUAGCAACCACUUAGAAACCAUCUAGUGAGACCAUCGCAACCACCUAGAACACCUUAGCAAAAAUCUAGCAAUUCCCUAGCAACCAACCAGAACACCUUAGCAACCACAUUGCAAUGCCCUAACAACCACCCAGAACACCUUAAAAAUCACUUAGCAAUAUGCUAACAACCACUCAGAGCACCUUAGCAACCCUAUCGUGACGGUGAUUUUUGCAUCGGCUCAUAGUUUUGCACUCAUAUUCUGAAAAAAUAACUAAAAACAAAUCUAGUUUCUUUUUUUGUUGUUGCCCCUUUUCUCCCUAAUUUGGAAUGCCUAAUUCCCAGUGUGCUUUUAGGUCCUCGUGGUCGCGUAGUGAUUCGCCUCAAUCCGGGUGGCGGAGGACGAAUCCCAGUUGCCUCCACGUCUGAGACCGCCAACCCGCGCAUCUUAUCACGUGGCUUGUUGAGCGCGUUGCCACGGAGACAUAGUGCGUGUGGAGGCUUCACAGCACCUCUCUCUACCCUCUACCCUCCCUAGCAACCAGGCCAAUUUGGUUGCUUAGGAAGCCUGGCUGGAGUCACUCAGCAUGCCCUGGGAUUCAAACUAGCGAACUCCAGGGGUGGUAGCCAGCGUAUUUUACCACUGAGCUACCCAGGCCCCACAAAAAUCUAGUUUAAUUAAAGGGAUAGUUCACCCAGAAAUUAAUAUUCUCUCACCAUUUACUCACCCUCAUGACAUCCCAGAUGUGUAUGACUUUCUCUUUUCUGCAGAACACAAAGAUUUUGAGAAGCUCUGUAGAACUAUAUAAAAGUCUAUAAAAUAAAUGGUGACCAGACCUUUGAAGCUCCAAAAAUCAUAAAAAUAAAAUCAUCUAUAAGUGGUUAAUCUAUAUCUUCUGAAGCGAUACAAUAGGUGUGGGUAAGAAACAGAUAAACAUUUAAGUCAUUUUUGACUAUAAAUCUCCCCUUUUACAUUUAAAAGUGACAUUAAAAAAGGACUUAAAUAAUGAUUUGUUUCUCAUCCACACCUAUCAUAUCACUUCUGAAGAUAUGGAUUUAACCACUGGUGUUGUAUGGAUUACUUUUAUGUGGCCUUAAUGUGAUUUUUGGAGCUAUAAAGGUCUGAUCACCAUUCACUUGAUUGUAUGGACCUACAGAGCCGAUUUAUUCUUCUAAAACUCUUUGUUUUUGUUCUGCAGAAGAAAGACAGACAUAUACAUCUGGGAUGGCAUAAGGGUGAUUAAAUGAUGAGAAUUUUCAUUUUGGGGUGAACUAUCCCUUUAAACAAAAGCAGGGUAUAUCAAACCAGAGAUUUGUGUAGUUCCCAUCUUGACAAUGAGUUUAGUAGUAUUUUGGCUCCUAGCAUAUCUGUUUUGAUUACAGUCAAGAUUCCUUAAGAGUGUCUCCCAUGGCCCUUUAAAAUCCUCAAGUCUUAUGCAAAUGAGAAAAUGUGAUUACCACCCAGGCAGUGAUGAAAGGAGAAAGCCACUGCUUUGCAUUAAUGCGUGGCUGUUUUGUAUCGUGAAGUCCACUGGAGUUAAUUUAUGCUCAUUCUUAUUCAACCUUAGUUUGUCAUCUUGUUUUGGUUGUCCUCUCUCUCAGCAACAAUGAUGAAUCAUAGUUGUGACUGGUCAUUUAAAAUAAGGUGUCUGAAUGUCUGCACAGAAUCCUCUUUGCUGUGUGAAAACACCAUGUCAUUGCAUUCAGUUUCUGUCUGAAGCAGGGAUGGAUUUCCGACCGGGCCAAUGGGGCCAGUGCCCAGGGGCCCUUGACUACCAGGAGCCCGGGGGGGGGGGGGGGGGUGUUGGGUUUGAAAGUUGCGCAAUCCAGUUUGGUACAGAAAACCCAUCAACAAUGAAAACAAAUGUUUAUUUAUGCUUGAAUAUAUGGCUAUGGUUGAUAAUCUUGGGCUUGACCUAUCCAAUUGUAGGGGGCAGUUAUACGACAAUGCAAGAAACAUGUCGGGAAAGUAUAAAAGGGUCCAGGCACACCUUAAACGGAGAAAUCCCUUAAUCCAUUUUGUGCCAUGUGCAGCGCAUUCAUUAAAUUUGGCUGGCACCAAUGCUGUUGAUAGUUGCAAAGUAGCUGGUAGUUUUUUUAAUUUAGUUCAGUCAAUUUAUUCUUUUUGCGCAUCAUCCGCACACCGCUGGGGAAAGGUCUUCCAUGAUACUAACAUCAAGAUAACAUUAAAUCACUGUCGGAUACUCGGUGGAGUGCACGAGCAGAGUCCUGUAAGGCACUUUGGAAACAGUAUGCACAGGUCAGAGAGGCCUUGGGUAAAAUAUACAAGGACAUGCACAAGAAACGAGAAACUCGCAGCGAAGCUUCUGCGCUGUGCACCAAGCUGGACACAUUAGAGAUGGCCUUCAUGGCGCAUUUUUGGAACAUGGUUCUAGAGAAGUUCCAGGCCACAAGCCAGCAAUUACAGAGGCACGACAUAGACAUAUUUACGGCAACUCGUCUCAUUUAGAUGGCUUUGAAGCAUUUGAAAGAGCAGCCAUGAAUGUGUCUGGCAUUUCUUAGUGUUACAAGCGUGUCAUCCAGCGUGCAGAAAAGCGCAAAACGUUGGCAGACGUUUUCACAGAACCAGAUGUGCUGCAUGAUGGAAGGGAUCAAUUUCGAGUAGAGACAUUCAAUGUCAUCAUUGACAAACUCACAUUCUGUCUUCAACAUCGUUUGGAGGCUUACAAACACCUGACCAAAUUGUUUGGUGUUCUUUUCAUGCCCGAAAACUUUGACAUUACGGCAAACGCCGACUUGCUCUCAGCCUCGUACCCGCUGGAUUUGGAUAAGAGCCUAGCAGACGAACUGACCCAUUUCAGAUAAUUUAUGCAAGAUGAACAAAACAUUCCCCUCAACAUGCUCCAAACAAUGAUUAAUCUGAAUUUACAAUCAACUUUUCCCAACGUGUACAUUGCGUUAAGACUUUUUCUGACGCUGCCAGUUACGAACUGCACUCAUUUUCCAAAAUGUCUAGAGUUAAAAACUAACUGAGAAUGAGAAUGUGCCAAGAACAUCUCAACUCUAUCGCUUAUGGCCACUGAGUCCGAACUCUUAAAAGAGCUCAGUUUCGAUGAAGUGGUGGAUGACUUCGCGAGGAGGAAGACAAGAAAGUAACUCCUGUAAGAAAUUGUUUUGGUAACCAUAUGCUGGAUUGUAUAAUUUUCAGGGCCUGCAAAAAUUGUGUUUGUAAUUGUGUGUUUUCUUAAAUUGCAUUUUCUUGCUUGAUGAUCUGAUGUUUACAGGCAUGUGAUGUGUGUCACAGGGUAGUUUUAUGGUGACAAAUAAUUUUUUGAUUCAUGUGAUGCAUUAAAUACGUGUAUAUUUGACAGUUAAUUCAUUAAAGACGUGUGUUUCUUAUGCCUUAAUUUGCCGCAUUGUUGAUUAUUCAUUGUGUAGCUAUUAAUAGACUUGUAGAGAGAAAAAUGAUAUCAGAAAAAUGUAUUAGUCCUAUACCUUGAUUCUGUAAACCAUGUGAUAAUUAGAAUACAAUGCAUACAGUAUAUAAUUAUUAAUAAUUGUAUUUAUUUAUCACACAUUAUACAUUUGCACAUAUACAGUGAAAUUCUUUUUUCACAUAUCCCAGCUAAGCUGGGGUCAGAGUGCAGGGUCAGCCAUGAUACGGUGCCCCUGGAGCAGAUAGGGUCAAGGGCCUUGCUCAAGGGCCCAACAGUGGCAUCUUGGUGGUGCUGGGGCUUGAACCCCUGACCUUCUGAUCAGUAACCCAGAGCCUUAACUGCUGAGCCACCACUGCCCCUCUAUAGCAAGCAAUAAACCACAAGUGGCCAUGCGCCACAAAGAUUUUACCUGGUAGAGGUGUUCUUAGGCACAACAAGAAGCAUUUAUAAAAUGCAUGCUAUGCUGCUUGGUUGUUUACAGUUGCCAAGCAACAUAGCAACUUUACAUUAAUUUUGUUUGUGCGGUCACAAGUGUGCAUCAUUUUACAAUAACUUAGUUUAAUAAUUUAUCCAUUACAUAAAUCCUUAAAUUAUAAAGGAUUUGAAAGAGACUAGUGUGAAAAAGUCCAAAACAAACUGCAGGGCAAUAAAUUCACAGAUAAGCUAUUACAUGAACAUUUUGGGAGAUCAUUCCCAGCACAGAGACAAAAUACUCUGGAACACACCAGAGCUGUACUCUCCUGUCCUCUCCUCCCACAUGAGCCCAAUUGUUUAUCUAGUUCCUGUCAGACAAGUUUCUGCUGUUUACUUGAUCAGAGGGGCUCUAUCAGUUUCAUAUUACUUAUAUUUGUUCGUAGUAGUUUGCUUGCUUGAAAUACAAGCAUAUGAAAGAGCACCAUGAUUAAUGAAUUAUUUGUAUUAAACAUUUGUUUACAUUGUGUUAUGCAGUCCAGUAUACAGUUUACAUGAACUGGGUGGGAAAAAAUAAUCCGAUGAAAAACACUGGGACUGUCGUAACAACCUCUCUGCCAAAAGAAGCCCCUAUUCUGUUCUGCUUGUCCAGUUUGCCGAA
This is a long non-coding RNA of Myxocyprinus asiaticus (Chinese sucker), 8271 nucleotides long. RefSeq lists it as uncharacterized. The transcript has 3 exons. The record is from RefSeq and is a predicted model, not a curated record. Lineage: Eukaryota; Metazoa; Chordata; Actinopteri; Cypriniformes; Catostomidae.